Chrysemys picta bellii (western painted turtle) is the source of this 184-nucleotide non-coding RNA. The record is from RefSeq and is a predicted model, not a curated record. Lineage: Eukaryota; Metazoa; Chordata; Testudines; Emydidae.
UGUGGAGCCAGAUUCACGUUCAGAUUCAUGCCACCGUAGCUAUGAAGCGAGGAAGCAGCAAAAGGAUCGGUCCUGGAGGCUGGUACUUGAGUGAAAUGUUCAGACCUGGCGUACAUUUCUCCAGUCAGAUCAAUUUGCUUCAGGAUGUUCUAGAGUGUAUGGAAAAUCCAGAAGCCAAAGGGGU